RNAcentral lists this ribosomal RNA (405 nucleotides) under uncultured bacterium. Its description in RNAcentral is "partial 16S ribosomal RNA". It matches the Rfam family "Bacterial small subunit ribosomal RNA", at positions 28 to 526 of the family's 1533-position model. The record is from RNAcentral.
GAUGAACGCUGGCGGCGUGCCUAAUACAUGCAAGUCGAACGAAGCGGGGACGGGUGAGUAACACGUGGAUAACCUCCUAUAAGACUGGGAUAACUUCCGGGAACCGGUGCUAAACCGGCUACUUAUAGAUGGAUCCGCGCUGCAUUAGCUAGUUGGUAGGGUAACGGCUUACCAAGGCAACGAUGCAUAGCCGACCUGAGAGGGUGAUCGGCCACACUGGAACUGAGACACGGUCCAGACUCCUACGGGAGGCAGCAGUAGGGAAUCUUCCGCAAUGGGCGAAAGCCUGACGGAGCCACGCCGCGUGAGUGAUGAAGGUCUUCGGAUCGUAAAACUCUGUUAGUAGGGAGGCGGUACCUAAACAGAAAGCCACGGCUAACUACGUGCCAGCAGCCGCGGUAAUUC